RNA transcript from Lagenorhynchus albirostris (white-beaked dolphin), 3969 nucleotides. It is a transcript of the gene named receptor interacting serine/threonine kinase 2, with no coding region annotated. The record is from RefSeq and is a predicted model, not a curated record. The transcript is spliced from 13 exons. NCBI's taxonomy places the organism in Eukaryota, Metazoa, Chordata, Mammalia, Artiodactyla, Delphinidae.
CCGGCUCCGGAUAAGCAGCGGCUUGGCGUGGGCUGCGCGGAGAAUGGACGGCCUCGUGACCUAAUGUCCGGCAGGCUGUAGUGCCUGCCGAGCCGGCUCGCGCAGCGGGUGGAGCCGCGGGAGCGGCGGGCACUUCCGGAAUCGACCGGCUGCCUGAGUGCCCGCGCCACCCGCUACCAUGAACGAGGAGGCCAUCUGCAGCGCCCUGCCCACCAUCCCGUACCACAAGCUCGCCGACUUGCGCUACUUGAGCCGCGGCGCGUCCGGCACCGUGUCUUCUGCCCGCCACGCAGACUGGCGCGUUCAGGUGGCCGUGAAACACCUGCACAUUCACAGCCCGCUGCUCGACAGUGAAAGAAAUGAUGUCUUAAGAGAAGCUGAAAUUUUGCACAAAGCUAGAUUUAGUUACAUUCUUCCAAUUUUGGGAAUUUGCAAUGAGCCUGAAUUUUUGGGAAUAGUUACUGAAUACAUGCCAAAUGGGUCAUUAAAUGAACUCCUACAUAGGAAAAAUGAAUAUCCUGAUGUUCCUUGGCCAUUAAGAUUUCGUAUUCUGCAUGAAAUUGCACUAGGUGUAAAUUACCUGCACAAUAUGAAUCCUCCUCUACUUCAUCAUGACCUGAAGACUCAGAAUAUCUUAUUGGAUAAUGAAUUUCACGUUAAGAUUGCAGAUUUUGGCUUAUCAAAAUGGCGCAUGAUGUCCCUGUCACAAUCACGAAAUAGUAAAUCUGCACCAGAAGGAGGGACAAUUAUCUAUAUGCCACCUGAAAACUAUGAACCUGGACAAAAAUCAAGGGCUACUAUCAAGCAUGAUAUAUACAGCUAUGCAGUUAUCACAUGGGAAGUCUUAUCUAGAAAACAGCCUUUUGCAGAAGUCACCAAUCCUUUGCAGAUUAUGUAUAGUGUGUCACAAGGACAUCGACCUGACACUAAUGAAGAAAGUUUGCCAUUUGAUAUACCUCAUCGAGCACUUAUGAUCUCUCUAAUAGAAAGUGGAUGGGCACAAAAUCCAGAUGAAAGACCGUCUUUCUUAAAAUGUUUAAUAGAACUUGAACCAGUUCUGCGAACAUUUGAAGAGAUAACUUUUCUUGAAGCUGUUAUUCAACUAAAGAAAACAAAGAAUGCUUCAAGUACCGCUCACUUAUGUGACAAGAAGAAAAUGGAGUUAUCUCUGAACAUACCUGUAAAUUAUGGUCCACAGGAGGAAUCGUGUGGAUCCGCUCAGCUCCAUAAAACUAGUGUUUCUCCUGGAACCUCAAGGACCCUUUCAGCUCCUCAAGACAAUGAUUUUUUAUCUAGAAAAACUCAAGACUUUUCUGUGAUGCGUCAAUGUCCAGUAAAUCACAGUUGUGACAGUAACAUUUCUGUGGCUCAAAGAGCAAUAUUCUGUGAUCACAGGGCUGCUCCAUGCUCCUUAGCAAUAAUAAAUCCACUCUCAGCGGAGGGAAAUUCAGAGCAAUUUCAGCCUGGUAUAACCCAACAGUGGAUCCAGAGUAAAAGGGAAGAUAUUGUGAACCAAAUGACUGAAGCCUGCCUUAACCAAUCUCUAGAUGCCCUCCUGUCCAGGGAUUUGAUCAUGAAGGAGGACUAUGAACUCAUUAGUACCAAACCUACAAGGACCUCAAAAGUCAGACAAUUAUUGGAUACUAGUGACAUCCAAGGAGAAGAAUUUGCCAAAGUUAUAGUACAAAAAUUGAAAGAUAACAAGCAAAUGGGUCUUCAACCUUACCCAGAAAUACUUGUGGUUUCUGAAUCUUCAUCUUUAAAUUUAUUCCACAAUAAAAACCUAUAAGUAACUCUUUUUCAAGAAGAAAAGUCAAUGCAUAAAAGGCCUCAAGUAACAAUCAAGGUAACAACCAACGUUAACAGCAUGAUGUGUAUCGUUCUAUCCCUUUCUUCCUGCUCAUACUUAAAGUAUAUGCCUGGGGGGGACUUUCAAGAUGGCGGAGGAGUAAGACAUGGAGAUCACCUUCCUCCCCACAAAUACAUCAAAAAUACAUCUACAGGACUUCCCUGGUGGCGCAGUGGUUGAGAGUCUGCCUGCUGAUGCAGGGGACACGGGUUCGUGCCCCGGUCCGGGAAGAUCUCACAUGCCGCGGAGUGGCUGGGCCCGUGAGCCAUGGCCGCUGAGCCUGCGCGUCCAGAGCCUGUGCUCUGCAACGGGAGAGGCCACAACAGUGAGAGCCCCGUGUACCGCAAAAAAAAAGAAAAAAAAAAUACAUCUACGUGUGGAACAACUCCUGCGGAACACCUACUGAACACUGGUGGAAGACCUCAGACUUCCCAAAAGGCAAGAAACUCCCCACGUACCUGGGUAGGGAAAAAGGAAAAACAGAGACAAAAGAAUAGGGACAGGACCUGCCCCUCCGGGAGGGAGCUGACAAGGAGGAAACGUUUCCACACACUAGGAAGCUCCUUCACUGGUGGAGAUGGGGGGUGGGCAGUGGGGAAGCUUCAGGGCCAUGGAAGAGAGCACAGCAGCGGGAGUGUAGAGGGCAAAGUGGAGAUAUUCCCACACAGAGGAUCAGUGCCUACCAGCACUCACCAGCCAGAGAGGCUUGUCUGCUCACCUGCCAGGGCGGGUGGGGGCUGGGAGCUGAGGCUCAGGCUUCGGAGGUUAGAUCCCAGGGAGAGGACUGGGGUUGCUUGUGUGAGCACAGCCUGAAGGGGGCUAGUGAUCCACAACUAUCUGGGAGGGAGUCCGGGAAAAAGUCUGGACCUGCCUAAGAGGCAAGAGACCAUUGUUUCAGGGUGCGCAAGGAGAGAGGAUUCAGAGCAUUGUCUAAACGAGCUCCAGAGACAGGCGCGAGCCACGGCUACCAGUGCGGACACCAAAGGCGGGCAUGAGACACUAAGGUUGCUGCUGCAGCCACCAAAAAGCCUGUGUGCCAGCACAGGUCACUAUCCACACCUCCCCUCCUGGAGCCUAUGCAACCUGCCACUGACAGGGUCCCAUGAUCCAGGGACAAAUUCCCCGGGAGAACACACGGUGCACCUCAGGCUGUUGCAAUAUCACACCAGCCUCUGCCAGUCAGGCUCGCCCUGCUUUCCGUACCCAUCCCUCCCUCCUGGCCUGAGUGAGCCACAGCCCCCUAAUCAGCUGCUCCUUUAACCCCUCCCUGUCUGGGCGGGGAACAGACGCCCUCAGGUGACCUACACGCAGAGGUGGGGCCAAAUCCAAAGCUGAACCUCAGGAGCUGUGCAAAGAAGAGAAAGGGAAAUCUGUCCCAGCAGCCUCAGGAGCAGUGAAUUAAAUCUCCAUAAUCAACUUGAUGUACCCUGCAUCUGUGGAAUACCUCAACAGACAACAAAUCAUCCCAAAAUUGAGACGGAGGACUUUGGGAGCAACUGUAGAGAUCUAAAAACUCAAGAUUUCCAAUCAGUCUGUAUGCUUAUGGCUCUGUGCAUACCAGCCACUUUCUUCCAUAACUUAGGGAGGCACAGAUGCAGUCAUCCGUCAUUGCAGCUCUGCAAAUUUUUCUGCACAAAUAACAAUGUACAAUGAUGAAGAUUAUGACAAGGAUCAAGAUGAAUCUACGAUGAGCUCUCAGCCAUUAGUAGAAUUGUUACAGUCUCAGCAACCAAUGUUCAUUAUACCAGUAAUCGAUACAGUGAUGUUUAGGGGAAGGUGCCACAAGGUAUUCUGAGUAUGACCUGUCAGUAUAGAACAGGGCCUGGCGUAGACAGUUUCUAACUAUCUCUUUAAUGAAUUGUUCAUUGGAAUGAAAGCUGGAGAAGGGAGGAGGAAGAUGUUUCCUUGAAAUCACAUUUCCCAGGAUGUAAUGUGAAUACAGCUGGUAGUAGAUGGGAUUGUUUCAGGUAGUAUCCAGACAAACAGCACUAAAUUAACAUUUGAGUCACAAAGGAAGUUCUUUGUAAUUCUUUAUUGAGUCAUCUAGUUAAGUAAAGCAGAAUGUUACAGUUGUGCUAUCAUCCUUUAUUGUUAAGAAAAAGACUAGGCUUCAGGAAAAA